UGAACACAGACAUUCAGUUCACAGCACUAUUGUAUUGGGUGCCAUGUUCGACACUUGGCAUAGAUUAUCUCAUUUAUGCCUACAAGUCUGACGAAAGGCCCAUAGGUUUCAUCAAAGAAAGUCAGGACUAUCUGGAAUGGAUAAUUGGUCCCAAAUAGUGGAAGAAAGAAAGAAAGAAAGAAAGAAAGAAGAAAGAAAGAAAACAACAUGAAUAAUUCUAGUAAAAUGUGCUCAUAUUAAAGAGGGAAAUUAAGGCCCAGAGAACUGAAAUUGUCUGCGGUUAUAGCAGCAGAGAAAAGACUUAAAGCCAUAUCCUCUAGGGACCACUUUUGCUUGUAUUGUAUACUUCAAGAUCAGUUCAGGUCCUGCUUCCUCUAGAAAACCUUGUGGAGAAACUUCACUCUCUACAGUUCAAUCCCCUGCCUUGCUUUACCUGUUACCCCUUCUAUACAUCUUAUCACUUGAUUCCACUGAAGGCAGCCCUUUUGACAUUCCAUUUUGUGGUGUUCCCAUCUGAGCUCAAUGCCUGGUAUAUAAAAAAUAAGUGCUUGUUGAGAAGUGAAAAGCAAAUGUCUUCCAAUUUUUAAUACAUGUGAGUAUCACCUCCUGAACAAAAGGAAAGGCACCUGCCUUUGUUUUUUGUUUGCGUUUAUACAAUUUAUAAAUGCACCACAGGCACAUAGUAGGUGUUCAAUGAAGAUGUAUUCAAUAUAAUUGAAUUUCCUGGUAGCUGAACAACUAGGCAGAUGGGUGGAGAGAUAUAAAUUAGUAAAGCAGAUUUAAACCAUGUGUUGAUCAUUGAAAAGUUGUUUCAUUUUCAGCCAAGAUAAAUGCUUUUUUAAUGUGUAAAGAAAUCUAUAAUUUUCUAUGCUUUGAAUUAAAGCUCCCACUUCCCAGGUUUCCUGCCUGCUUCUGGCUGCUCUUAAUGAGCUAAUUUACCCCACCGAGGUGAGAGAUUUCCUCUUGGGAAAGGGUUUAGAUGUGCCUCUCUCAUAUCCAGGGCCCCAGAGCGUUUCCUUACAGGGCUUUAAACACUCUGCCCGUAUUUAAGAGAGAAGCCAAGGAACAAAUCUGUUGUUUUAGCUUUAUUCCUUGAGGCUCAGCGGCUCGACUUUCCUUCCCCUUUGAUCGCUCUCACUGGAGUGGCAGGCCUGGAAACUGCGGAGAAGGGGUAGGUCUCCUUAGGAAGCCCAGUUCAGGGGACCCACCCAGCUCCACACAAUGAAAAUAAAGUUGUCAAGCCUUUGAGGUGGCUGUGAAGAUUUAUUCUUCCUGGGCAAAUUGGUGAGACAUUUAUAUUUUUAAAAAAUGCUUUGAUGAACUUGAUAAGGAAGCCCUCGUUUGAAUGUGGAAAAACAUUCUAGAGCUUUUUCCACUGCUACACAGGGUUUUUAGCUUUAACCUGUGAAAAUGGACUGGGUUUUGACCUGGGUUUUAGCUUGACCUGUGGAAAUGGACUUGCCCUUCAGAUGAAUGACGAGACUGUAAGGGGUUCAUUUGGGGAUUGCAGGACACAGGUUUACCCUGUCUUAGAAUAUAAGCAUCCAUGAGGCAGGAGGUCUUAAAAACCUUUUGCAGAUCUUGACAUCUUAUCUACACAUUUCCUAGUCCUCAGCUGCCAACCAAAAUCUCCCAAUUGCUCUAUUACAGCUCAAUGACUUACAUCACCAAGUAUGGUUCCAUUACUUCUACCAGCUGAAGCAAUGGAAUAUGCAAUAUUUUAUUAUGCAUAUAAUUGAAAUACUUUCUGUUCUUUCUAAGUUCGAAUAUUGUUUGUGUCACAUAUUGUUCUGAGCAUGCCUUGGUCACAGUCAGGUCUCGAGGGACCUAGGGAAGGAAGUGGAAGCUGGUGUGAAAUAUCCUUCUCUUGCAUUCCAGAAAGUCAUUUUAGCCAGGAACAUCUGCCAACAGCUCUGAGAUGGUGCUCUUAACAUCCCUGUGUUAUGCAGACCAUUAUGAAUGGCUCUGAAAAGACUGAGUGCUCGGCCAAAAAAAAAAAAAAAAAAAAAAAGAAGACAUGGA
RNAcentral lists this long non-coding RNA (2022 nucleotides) under Homo sapiens (human). RNAcentral's name for it is "HSALNT0399595". The record is from RNAcentral. Lineage: Eukaryota; Metazoa; Chordata; Mammalia; Primates; Hominidae.